UCCGGUAACCAUAGAGAAGGUGUUCCACCUGUUCCCAUCCCGAACACAGAAGUUAAGCCCUUCAUCGCCGAUGGUACUGCAGCGUUAGUUGUGGGAGAGUAGGUCAUUGCCGGGA
RNAcentral lists this ribosomal RNA (115 nucleotides) under Nitrospinota bacterium. Lineage: Bacteria; Pseudomonadati; Nitrospinota. The record is from RNAcentral.